AGGACGAACGCUGGCGGCGUGCUUAACACAUGCAAGUCGAGCGGAAAGGCCCUUCGGGGUACUCGAGCGGCGAACGGGUGAGUAACACGUGAGUAAUCUGCCCCUAGCUCUGGGAUAGCUCCGGGAAACCGGGAUUAAUACCAGAUACGACCACUUUAGACAUCUGUUGUGGUGGAAAGAAUUUCGGCUAGGGAUGAGCUCGCGGCCUAUCAGCUUGUUGGUGAGGUAACGGCUCACCAAGGCGACGACGGGUAGCCGGGCCUGAGAGGGCGACCGGCCACACUGGGACUGAGACACGGCCCCAGACUCCUACGGGAGGCAGCAGUGGGGAAUAUUGCGCAAUGGGCGAAAGCCUGACGCAGCGACGCCGCGUGGGGGAUGAAGGCCUUCGGGUUGUAAACCCCUUUCUAGCAGGGACGAAGCGAAAGUGACGGUACCUGCAGAAGAAGCGCCGGCUAACUACGCGCCAGCAGCCGC
This 477-nucleotide ribosomal RNA is filed under the name uncultured bacterium. Its description in RNAcentral is "SSU rRNA". It matches the Rfam family "Bacterial small subunit ribosomal RNA", at positions 26 to 518 of the family's 1533-position model. The record is from RNAcentral.